ACACUACUGGCACUACCAUGGUGCAAGUCAGUAGAGCAUGAGACUCUUAAUCUCAGGGCUGUGGGUUUGAGCCCUGCGUUGUGCA
Molecule: non-coding RNA, 85 nt
Organism: Podarcis lilfordi (Lilford's wall lizard)
Lineage: Eukaryota; Metazoa; Chordata; Lepidosauria; Squamata; Lacertidae
Source: the annotation of a GenBank genome assembly